This 851-nucleotide ribosomal RNA is filed under the name uncultured bacterium. Its description in RNAcentral is "bacterial SSU rRNA". It matches the Rfam family "Bacterial small subunit ribosomal RNA", at positions 53 to 888 of the family's 1533-position model. The record is from RNAcentral.
ACAUGCAAGUCGGACGGUAACAGGAGAGAAGCUUGCUUUUCUUGCUGACGAGUGGCGGACGGGUGAGUAACGCGUGGGAAUCUACCCUUUAGUUGGGGACAACAUAUGGAAACGUAUGCUAAUACCGAAUGUGCUCUACGGAGUAAAGGUGCCCUCUCCUUGGAAGGUAUCGCUAAAGGAUGAGCCCGCGUUAGAUUAGCUAGUUGGUAGGGUAAAGGCCUACCAAGGCGACGAUCUAUAGCUGGUUUGAGAGGAUGAUCAGCCACACUGGGACUGAGACACGGCCCAGACUCCUACGGGAGGCAGCAGUGGGGAAUAUUGCACAAUGAGGGAAACCUUGAUGCAGCCAUGCCGCGUGUGUGAAGAAGGCCCGAGGGUUGUAAAGCACUUUCAAUUGUGAGGAAGAUUAAGUAGCUAAUACCUGCUUAGUUUGACGUUAACUUUAGAAGAAGCACCGGCUAACUCUGUGCCAGCAGCCGCGGUAAUACAGAGGGUGCAAGCGUUAUUCGGAAUUACUGGGCGUAAAGCGCGCGUAGGCGGACUGUUAAGUCGGUUGUGAAAGCCCUGGGCUCAACCUAGGAACUGCAUCCGAUACUGGCAAUCUAGAGUUUAAGAGAGGGAAGUGGAAUUCCAGGUGUAGCAGUGAAAUGCGUAGAUAUCUGGAGGAACAUCAGUGGCGAAGGCGACUUCCUGGCUUAAAACUGACGCUGAGGUGCGAAAGCUUGGGUAGCGAACGGGAUUAGAUACCCCGGUAGUCCAAGCCGUAAACGAUGUCAACUAGCUGUUGGUCUUAUUAAAAAGAUUAGUAGCGAAGCUAACGCGAUAAGUUGACCGCCUGGGGAGUACGGUCG